UAGGGAAUCUUCGGCAAUGGACGAAAGUCUGACCGAGCAACGCCGCGUGAGUGAAGAAGGUUUUCGGAUCGUAAAACUCUGUUGUUAGAGAAGAACGUUGGUGAGAGUGGAAAGCUCAUCAAGUGACGGUAACUACCCAGAGAGGGACGGCUAACUACGUGCCAG
This 165-nucleotide ribosomal RNA is filed under the name uncultured bacterium. Its description in RNAcentral is "partial 16S rRNA". It matches the Rfam family "Bacterial small subunit ribosomal RNA", at positions 355 to 511 of the family's 1533-position model. The record is from RNAcentral.